This 240-nucleotide unclassified non-coding RNA is filed under the name soil metagenome. Its description in RNAcentral is "partial contains 5.8S ribosomal RNA, internal transcribed spacer 2, and large subunit ribosomal RNA". The record is from RNAcentral.
AACCUAGCACACCUGCGGUGUGUACCUGCGGAGGGAUCAUUACUGAGUUAGGGUCCUCGUGGCCCGACCUCCAACCCUUGUGUUUACCAAACCACGUUGCUUCGGCGGGCCCGUCCUCCCCCUCCCGGGGGAACGACCGCCGGGGGGUCUCCUGUAGACUUCCUGGCCCGCUGCCCGCCGGCGGCCAACCUCAAAAACUCUUUGUACAAACACUUGUCGUCUGAGUUAUACCUUUGAUAU